RNAcentral lists this long non-coding RNA (456 nucleotides) under Chinchilla lanigera (long-tailed chinchilla). RNAcentral's name for it is "lncRNA (ENSCLAG00000024670.1)". Lineage: Eukaryota; Metazoa; Chordata; Mammalia; Rodentia; Chinchillidae. The record is from RNAcentral.
GUCUGCUCUGCGCAUUAAUAGUAAUACAGAUAACGGGUUUGAAAGAAUUCUCUACUGAAGAAGGACUGAAAUUUUUCCAGUGGCUGAUACUAAGGGGGAACGCGACUUUACUCUCCCGAUUUCCCCAUCCUUAGAUUUAAAAGUCUCAGACAGCUUGUGCUUGGUUUAAACUCGGGAAGGUCUCCGUGCAUAGCAAAGUUGGAGGGCUGCGCCUGCACCACCGAGCCGCUAGAUUUCUGAACACAGUCUUGCCCAAGGAUAACCCAAAUCUGUGCCAGUGGCUGGGUGUAAUGCAAGGAAGGGACAAAGAUGAAAUGGAAACAUCUACCUUUUUUGGCCAUAAUAUCACUCCUCAGCGUGCCAAGCCAUCACCUGUUCCUGGCCCAGCUUAUUCCAGGUACGUAGCAUGCUCUUGUUUCAUCAGUAUUUAAACCAGUGUGCCUUCUAUCCUUUUAC